UAUUCUCGGGGCGGGGUGUAAUUCCCCACCGGCGGUGAGUGCUGAGUGCGCAAGCCCGCGAGCCCUGCCAGUGUAUGGCAGCGCAGAUCUGGUGCAAAACCAGAGCCGACGGUAACAGUCCGGAUGAGAGAGAAUG
This 136-nucleotide non-coding RNA is filed under the name fish gut metagenome. RNAcentral describes it as "FMN riboswitch (RFN element)". It matches the Rfam family "FMN riboswitch aptamer (RFN element)". From Rfam's summary of the family: The RFN element is a highly conserved domain that is found frequently in the 5'-untranslated regions of prokaryotic mRNAs that encode for flavin mononucleotide (FMN) biosynthesis and transport proteins. The record is from RNAcentral.